AUCUUUGAGUUGGUUAUGUGAGGUCCCAGAAUAUCUCCAUAAAAUAAAAAUGUAAAAAUAUAUUUAAGUUGUACGAAAAAUGGAUAUUGACACGACUUGCCCUGUCCAAGGCAAUUAAGGCCAAUUACGGGUCAAUUUCAUUAAUAUAAAUAUAAAAUGUAUCAUAAAAUGCUAAAAUUAAUAGAAAAUAAGUUCUAGGUAAUGUAGAAAAAGAAAAUACAUGUAAUUUUAUAUAACAAAGAGAGGGUUAAGACAUGGAAUUUGGACGUUCUGGAAAACGUCACUCCACUUUCACUUACAAAUGACGCUUUCGAACGACAAACGGCCCGAUGAUUAUUGUUCUAACAAUCCCGAAGUUCUCCGUUCUCCAUGAUGUAAUAAAGAAAAUAAACACAGCUCUCAGUUUCGACUGGAGAGAACCGGGUGACACGCAGGUGGUGAUAAGAGGAGAAGAGAAAAUAUAUAUACAGAAAAACAAAGAAGAAUCGGGGAGUCGCUCCGUAUCCACCAAACAGACAAGUGUCCGAGAGCCGCUCCAGGGAUCGGUCGUCUUUGACGGUGAUUCGCCUAGCCGUUGAGUCAUAGAGUCGAUCCCUAGAGUUCGUCCAGCUGGUCACAGGUUCUCCCUCGACAGACUUUCAACAAUUCCAACACGUCAGUCCUAGCAUUAUUAAUAUUUUUCUGUGCAACAUCGUUAUAGCUGUUUAGUAACCAGCGACGAAGUUUGCAAAGGAAGACCAUAACAGCCUUCUCAACAAUUUCCUUUUCCGUUCUCGUUUAGUCAUCGGGUAGAAUCAGCAGUCACAGCUCCUCAAUAAGUGUGAUUCUAAUUGUUCGUCUAUUCGGACUAAAUACUUUGAGUGUAAGGACUAAAGACUUUCCUGCACUACUAGACUAAAGCAACACGUCGACUUUGCUUUUCAGAUCCUAUUCAUUUCAGGUAUUUAUCCUCCAGUGUCUUUAUGUUCGCCACCCUCUCUAUCAAUAAAGAUCCAAGGUUUGCAGAAACCGUAGUUGUCUGUCUCAAACUGUGCCGAGAACGUCUCACUUUGUCGUCCUUAGU
This 1063-nucleotide long non-coding RNA is filed under the name Androctonus crassicauda. Lineage: Eukaryota; Metazoa; Arthropoda; Arachnida; Scorpiones; Buthidae. The record is from RNAcentral.